Molecule: ribosomal RNA, 595 nt
Filed under: Meloidogyne incognita (southern root-knot nematode)
Lineage: Eukaryota; Metazoa; Nematoda; Chromadorea; Rhabditida; Meloidogynidae
Description: LSU rRNA
Rfam family: Eukaryotic large subunit ribosomal RNA
Source: RNAcentral
CAGCAUAAUUUUUUGUGGUGCAUUUACUUGAUUGGUGCUUGGGGAUGUUUGAGGCAGAUUUGUUUCCGUCGUUUUGAGGCCAGCUUGCUGGUACCCAAACGGUGUUAGCAUUUUUUGUCUUGGGCAUUUGAGUAUGGCUCACGUGUAUUUAUUGGACAGAUCUGAGUGUAAGUUACGGUCGCAUGCGACACGUGCUUUUCAAUUAGUUCGGUCCAGUUAAUGCUCUCGUACUCGUUCCCCAUGUAAAAGCCGGUCAUCUAUCCGACCCGUCUUGAAACACGGACCAAGGAGUUUAUCGUGUGCGCAAGUUUUUGGGUGUUAAAAACUUAAAAGCGAAAUGAAAGUAAAUGACUCUUUAGAGUCUGAUGUGCGAUCUUGUAAAAAAGUGUAGCAUGGCCCCAUUCUAACUGUUUACAGUAGGGUGGCGGAAGAGCGUACGCGGUGAGACCCGAAAGAUGGUGAACUAUUCCUGAGCAGGACGAAGCCAGAGGAAAYUCUGGUGGAAGUCCGAAGCGGUUCUGACGUGCAAAUCGAUCGUCUGACUUGGGUAUAGGGGCGAAAGACUAAUCGAACCAUCUAGUAGCUGGUUCCUUCC